GGAAUUGACGGGGCCCCGCACAAGCAGCGGAGCAUUCGGCUUAAUUCGACGCAACGCGAAGAACCUUACCAAGGCUUGACAUAACAGGAAUAUGGCAGAAAUGUCAUAGCCGCAAGGUCUGUAUACAGGUGGUGCAUGGUUGUCGUCAGCUCGUGUCGUGAGAUGUUGGGUUAACUCCCGCAACGAGCGCAACCCUUGUCCUUAGUUGCCAUCAUUAAGUUGGGCACUCUGAGGAGACCGCCGGUGUUAAACCGGAGGAAGGCGGGGAUGACGUCAAGUCCUCAUGGCCCUUACGUCCAGGGCUACACACGUACUACAAUGGCAGAAACAAUGCGUCGCGAAGCCGCGAGGUGGAGCUAAUCGCAAAAACACUGUCUCAGUCCGGAUUGAAGUCUGCAACUCGACUUCAUGAAGCUGGAAUCGCUAGUAAUCGGAGAUCAGCACGCUCCGGUGAAUACGUUCCCGGGCCUUGUACACACCGCCCGUCACGUCACGAAGUCGGUAACACCCGAAGUCAGUGCCCAACCGUAAGGAGGGAG
RNAcentral lists this ribosomal RNA (539 nucleotides) under uncultured bacterium. RNAcentral's name for it is "bacterial SSU rRNA". It matches the Rfam family "Bacterial small subunit ribosomal RNA", at positions 906 to 1452 of the family's 1533-position model. The record is from RNAcentral.